Molecule: RNA transcript, 2120 nt
Organism: Homo sapiens (human)
Lineage: Eukaryota; Metazoa; Chordata; Mammalia; Primates; Hominidae
Gene: H2BP1
Gene name: H2B histone pseudogene 1
Exons: 3
Source: RefSeq, marked validated
GGUAGUUCGGAUUACUUCUUUAAGUGUCUGUUCUCUUUUUUCGCGCAAAAAUGCCGGAUCCAGCGAAAUCCGCUCCUGCUCCCAAGAAGGGCUCCAAAAAGGCUGUUAAAAGAGUGCAGAAGAAGGACGGCGAGAAGCGCAAGCGCAGCCGCAAGGAGAGCUACUCCGUUUACGUGUAGGAGGUGCUGAAGCAGGUCCACCCCGACACCGGCAUCUCGUCCAAGGCCAUGGGCAUCAUGAACUCCUUCGUCAACGACAUCUUCGAGCGCAUCGCGGGAGAGGCGUCCCGCCUGGCGCACUACAACAAGCGCUCCACCAUCACAUCCCGUGAGAUCCAGACGGCCGUGCGCCUGCUGCUGCCCGGCAAGCUGGCCAAGCACGCCGUGUCCGAGGGCACCAAGGCGGUCACCAAGUACACCAGCUCGAAGGACAGCACAACACAGAAUGAGGAUUUGGGUGAAGUUGCAACCACCGAGUUCCACAUACCAGUUUAGAAGCCUCAGAGUAUAAGUCAUUGGGUAUUUAAGGACCUUACCUAAGCUAACUCAGAAGCAUUAUGAAGGGCAGUAUUGACAUUAACUGCCAGGAAUCUCCUAAAAGAGUCAAGGGAUUAUACAUGAGUCAUAGAAGGAUACUUGAAGAUGGACAAUUAUAGUCCCAUCACUUUAUGGAAGACUAUGAGACCCAAAUAAGAGAAAUCCCAGUGGUCCACGAACUUAGCUCUGCAUUUUCUAGCUGAAGUUACUGUUGUUGUCAACUACUCAGCAUCCAAAAUUUUCACAAGAAAACAAGGUUUUUUCUCUUCAAAUUACAGUCCAAAGAGUGGCAAACAAGAAAGAUGACAGAGUCCGAAGACCUUAAGAUUUCUUUUCUUUGGUCAAGAACUCAUUACACAAUGGAUGAUACAUCUUAGGUGGUCCUACUAAAAAGAGACACAAGAAUCUAGAGACUAUCUCACUGUCAACCAAUCCAAGGAACUUUGCUUUAGAUGGCCAAAGCCAGAAACAGCAAAGUAGAAGAACUACUAGAGCUUUAAGCAGUUCCUUAGUAUUUUUCCUUGGCUUAUCCAAGCCUGGAUACUGGUCCACUUUCCCAAAGUUGGUAAAGAGGUAAUACAGCUUGGGAUUGAUUGGAUAUUGAGACAGAAAGAGAGGGGGAGAGAGAGAUAUCUAGGUACUGGAGCAGCACUAGGCACUCAGAAGAAGGAACACUUGGAGCAAAAAAUGAAGGAUAUAGAUUAGUGAAGUGAAGUCAGGAGCAAAUGAUCUCAGUUGCUUUACAUGAUCAAAGGACAAUAACUGCAAAUUGCCAGAGGGUAGGUGAAGCUCCAUAUCACUUUUUAAUAUUAGUGUUUUAAACACCUAGGAAUAGAAUAUACCUAAAGAUAAUAGCUUGAUUUCCCCACACCCACCUUUGCAAUGUUUUGAUUUUGCACAAGUCUUGGUUUCUAGUUUGUGGGAUUAUCAUUUUUCAUUGCAUUGAAGGAAAAUUCUUUAGGCCAGGAGGGAGUCUAAGACUUCAGACACAGCACAGAUACGAUCCUGGGCAAGGGUCAUUCAGUGUUCUUAAGAAAAUUCUAAAUCCUAAGGUGUGAUGGUUAAUAUUAGGUGUCAACUUGAUAGGAUUAAAGGAUGCCUAGAUAGCUAAGUAUUGUUUCUGGGUGUGUCUGUGAGGGUGUUGCCAGAGGAGAUUAACAUUUGAGUCAGUGGACCAGGAGAGGAAGACUCACCCUCAAUGUGGGUUGGCACCAUCCAGUCGGCUGCCAGGGUAGCUACAACAAAGCAGGAGAGAGAAGGUGGGCUAAGCUGGCUUGCAGAGUUCUGGCUUUCAUCCCUCUCCUGUGCUGGAUGCCUCCAUCCAUUCCUCCUGCCUUUGGACAUCAGACUCCAGGUUGUUUGGCCUUUGGACUCUUGGACUUAACACCAGUGGCUUGCCUGGGGCUUUUGGGCCUUAGGCCACAGACUGAAGGCUGCACUAUGGGCUUCCCUACUCUUGAGGCUUUUGGACUCAGACUGAACCACUACUGGCUUCUUUCUUCCUCAGCUUGCAGACGGCCCACCGUAGGACAUUGCCUUGUAAUCAUGUGAGCCAAUUCUCCUUAAUAAACUCCUUUUAAUAUA